Molecule: ribosomal RNA, 508 nt
Filed under: Roseomonas mucosa
Lineage: Bacteria; Pseudomonadati; Pseudomonadota; Alphaproteobacteria; Acetobacterales; Roseomonadaceae
Description: bacterial SSU rRNA
Rfam family: Bacterial small subunit ribosomal RNA
Source: RNAcentral
AAACUGGGGCUAAUACCGCAUAUGGGCUGAGGCCCAAAGCCGAGAGGCGCCUUUGGAGCGGCCUGCGUCCGAUUAGGUAGUUGGUGGGGUAAAGGCCUACCAAGCCUGCGAUCGGUAGCUGGUCUGAGAGGACGACCAGCCACACUGGGACUGAGACACGGCCCAGACUCCUACGGGAGGCAGCAGUGGGGAAUAUUGGACAAUGGGCGAAAGCCUGAUCCAGCAAUGCCGCGUGGGUGAAGAAGGUCUUCGGAUCGUAAAGCCCUUUCGACGGGGACGAUGAUGACGGUACCCGUAGAAGAAGCCCCGGCUAACUUCGUGCCAGCAGCCGCGGUAAUACGAAGGGGGCUAGCGUUGCUCGGAAUUACUGGGCGUAAAGGGCGCGUAGGCGGCGGCCCAAGUCAGGCGUGAAAUUCCUGGGCUCAACCUGGGGACUGCGCUUGAUACUGGGUUGCUUGAGGAUGGAAGAGGCUCGUGGAAUUCCCAGUGUAGCGGUGAAAUGCGUAGA